CAGACCGGCCGUCGCUCUCACCGGCAGUAACAGGUCGAUUUUGUCUUCUGAAGCGAUACAAGUCGUCACGACUGUAUGGGACGGCAUGCUUGCAAGACAGGUCCCGCCGAGCAACACCUGUUCACAUGGCUGUGGUUCGGAGGGCUGUCGUUCCGAACCAUUGCCAAGCGGACAAGACGCAGUCCGAGCACGGUGCAGAAGUGGGUGAGGCGCCUGCUGUGGAAAAACGUUCACAGAAGCAGAUACUACCAGAUGGCGGCGGCCGCUGCACCUAAAACCCCAUAUAUGGUCAUGGAUGAUGUAUAUUUCCAAAACAGCAUCCAAGAGUUUUCACAUAUCAGGCUGAGUGGCGAUUGUGUUUGCGGAUUAAGCAAUAUAGGAUUUUGCACAUGCUAUAACAAUUUCACUUAUUCAAAAUCACUGACGCUUUGAAUUAACAUAUCAAAUAAAUAAGGAUUUUAUAAUA
This 466-nucleotide long non-coding RNA is filed under the name Portunus trituberculatus (swimming crab). Its description in RNAcentral is "uncharacterized LOC123498735". The record is from RNAcentral. Lineage: Eukaryota; Metazoa; Arthropoda; Malacostraca; Decapoda; Portunidae.